AACAUUUCCUCUUCUGAGCCGCGAGGGAAAAUAAAAGGUCGAGGGAAACACAGGACGAACGUCCCGAAUCCCGUAGGGAUGCAGCGCGGGGGAAUUGCCGUGCCGAGACCCUUUGCCGGAAUUCUCAGACAAACACUGGCUGUUUCCAAGGGACUGCCUCGAGUUGCCAUCUUUUCUUCCUGGGAAGAAUCCUCUUCCCUGUGUGCUGAGCAGAGAUAAUAAAUCAGCCUGUUGUGGUUUUUCUGCCUGCAUAAACCCAGAAUUGGCCUCCUGUGACCCCCGAGGAGCCGGGGCCGGCGCUUCCAGCUCGGAGCGGCGCAGGCGGGUGGCUCAGCUAAUGCCCCCGCUGCUGGUUUGGCUCAGCCCUCCGCCGGCGCGGCCGCUGGACCGCAGCGCGGCAGCAGAUGCUCGAUGCCCUGCAGUUAGAUGCCCUUCCAGUUGACAAGACCAACCGCGAUGGCGCAGCGCCGAUGGCCCAGCAGGUUGCCCAGAAGUCCGCGAUGGUCUCAGCAACGCAACCCAAGCUGCAGUUCCCCUCCACAGCCAGCCUGCCAGCCCUCGGGGCUGCUCUUCGCUCCACACCCGCCCCACAGCCUUUUCCAGCAUCUCCCCCAUGUGUUUUCCUUUCCUCUGCCUGUUCCGCGAUGUGAUUUACAGCCGGCGUGCGGCUGCUCCCCUCUGGGCUGUGCCGCUGCCGUGCCCCGUGCGGCAGCGUCCUUAAGCCUGGUGGCCCUCGGUGCCCCCUCCUCAAGGUGUUUUGCGGUAGGGGUGGGUGAGGAAGGCUGUGCCGCUGGCCGUUGUUUUGCCCUGCCUAUAGAUAAUUAGAAAUGCCACCGUUAUGCAGCCUUUAAUUAAUUGACAGGAAAGAAAAGAAAGCUGGGUUGCCCUGAAGGAACUUAUCACAGAUAUUAAAAUGGUAUCAAAGAAGUUCUGCAGCUCUUUAAAGGGUGCUUUAAAUUAUGGGACCAAGCCCAGAGUGGGAAAAAUGAG
Non-coding RNA from Phalacrocorax carbo (great cormorant), 990 nucleotides. NCBI's taxonomy places the organism in Eukaryota, Metazoa, Chordata, Aves, Suliformes, Phalacrocoracidae. The record is from RefSeq and is a predicted model, not a curated record.